Molecule: non-coding RNA, 5848 nt
Organism: Cherax quadricarinatus
Lineage: Eukaryota; Metazoa; Arthropoda; Malacostraca; Decapoda; Parastacidae
Source: RefSeq, a predicted model, not a curated record
UUUCGUACUACUAAUAUAAUACUAUAUAUAGUAUAAUACUAUAUAUACAUACUCUCUCCAGGUAAAUAUCAUGCUACUCACCUGUGAUGUAACGUUGAAUGUUGUCAAGUGACCUAGUGUUGUCCUGUGGCAGGUGCUGGUGGGAUGGUGGCUGGUAUUUUGCUUCGUGAUCAGCUCAGCGUUCAGGUCCUCACUGGUCGCCCAUCUGACGGUGCAGGGAAAGACCAAGACCAUAGAGAACUUCAAGGAUUUGAUAGAGAAGAAGCACUGGGAGUGGGGCAUCGAGGCGUGGAUGAUGAGUGGCCAACCUUGUAUAUACUUCUCCCAGCACCCCGAUCCCAUCGUCAGGACCAUUUAUGCUAAAAUGGAGGUUAUACGUACUUAGUAUAAGUGGUACUGAUAUGCAAUAAGAGAUUACUUCUCUAUAAAAAUUUCACUGCAAACUUUACUGUUAUAUACAGAUCACCUAGAAAGGUCCCAUCUAUCUCAAUUAUCUCAUCUCUGCCAGUUAUAUGUUAAAUAACAUAUAGUAUAUAUAGUAUAAUACACUAUAUAUCAUGCUACUCACCUGUGAUGUAACGUUGAAUGUGUAGUUAAAUGUUCAUUUAUAACGUUCUAGGAUAGACUAAAUUCUCGUUCAGAUCGUAUUUCCAAAUUGAAAGUUUCUUGUGAAGAGGAAAAUUAAGAUUUGUCGCUUUAUAUUUGUAAAUUAUAUUUAAAAUAAAUAUCGAUAUAUGUCUAAUAACAGUUUUAGCUUUUUCUUUUUAUAUUGGCAGUUUGGAGGGAUAUGUUGUGUAUCUUUAUAUGUGUAUGCUUCUAGACUGUUGUAUUCUGAGCACCUCUGCAAAAACAGUGAUAAUGUGCGAGUGUGGUGAAAGUGUUGAAUGAUGAUGAAAGUAUUUUCUUUUUGGGGAUUUUCUUUCUUUUUUUUGGGGUCACCCUGCCUCGGUGGGAAACGGCCGACUUGUUGAAAAAAAAAAAAAGUUAAAUUUACUCCAGACCUAACAAAGGUAGCAGAAGAGCCGCUCACUAUAAUGUAUAUUAACCUGACUUUUUUUCGAACCUCGCACCACCCAGAUAUUACAACACUGCUUACUGUACUUUAUGACAGUUUACCUCCCUGGAUAAAGCGCUGCCGAAGGUGCUAGCUGGCCACUACUCUCACAUAGCAUUCAGGAACUUCAUCAGCGUCACCAUUGCGGCUAACUACACCGACGCAUACGGCCAGACCCCGUUAUACACUAGCAAAGAAGGUCAAAACAUAAUGGCUUCUUUCGGUUUUAGCUUCAGGAAGGGCGCACCAUUCCAGGCUCGAUUCCGGCAGGUCAUUGGCCGCCUGGUGAAUGCGGGUAUCUUGGAGAAGUGGACGCAGGAGGUGAUGGCCAAUAGGGUGAGGGAGAUGAGAGCUGCUGCUGGCAAGACUGCUGCAUACACACAGCCGAUGACGGAGGAUGAGGUGGUACUGGGGUUAAUCCACCUGCAGGGUGCCUUCUACAUGCUCCUGCUGGGUUGUAUCCUAGCUCUCCCUAUUUUCCUGGUGGAGUACCUAACACACUCCCGCUCCAACACUACCCUGAUGCCACCUUAGAGGACUACCUAACUCACACAUAAAUGAAGCGCCUGACUAUUUAUGUCGAUAUCACCUUAAGAGUACCUGACUCAUGGUACUGAUGUCACAUUAAGAAACACCUGACUCACAACACUCUUCUGCUAUGGCCUAUAAGGGUUACCUGACUCUUAUCCUCUGAUGUCACCUUAGAGGACAACUUGCCCUAGACUCAUCACUCGCCAGCAGACAGUAUUCACCUAAUUGUUCUAAAAUACAUUAUGUUGAAUAUAAAUCUUCCACUCCUAUUCAGAGGUUCUUGUAAAAUUCAGAUCAGAAAGCUUUUCUCAAGAACUGGCCCUGGCGACGGUCACACAAUUUUCUUUUAUUCAGUUUUAGGUAAUGAUUUAUUUAUCUUCAGAAUUUGAUUUACCACACUGUGUGGCUAUCCUGAUGUAUAAGAUAUUUUACAAGAAUAGAGCAAGAACUAUUUUUGAGGUUUCUUAGUAAACAUAACCUAAUGUAAUCUUGCCUAGCCUUAGCGUACCCUAGACUUGCUUUGCCUAAAAUAACCUAACCUAGCCUAGCUUAGCCUAACCUAGCCUAGUUAAUCUAACCUAGCCUAGUUAAUCUAACCUAGUCUAACCUCACCUACGUACCUGAUCUAUGCCUUUUAGGGUUGGCGGUGAGGUUCAGUAAUUUGUAACCUAACCUUUACGAAAAAAAUAAUUCGAGAAAGUCUUGAUUCAAAGAGCUUGCAGUCCGAUAAUUUUGUUUUAUUUGAAUAACUGGUUGUUGGAAAAAAUAAUAGAAAUUUUGGUUUUCAAACAACUUGCCGGUUCCUUAUAAGCUUAGUCAUAAAGCUUAAACAUUGCUUAAUAUGAUUACAACAAAAUUCCAGUAGCGUAUAAUCAGGCUACACUAAUAUGCGAGAUGUAUACAACAAUCUUGACGUUUAAUAUUGUUAAUUAAGGGAAUAUUAAAACAUUACGUUUUUACAUUGCUUAUUUAGGAUAUAUUAAAAUAUUACGGUUUACAUUAUUAAGUAUGAUUUAAUAAGUUCUUUAUUUAUUAUCUAGUCUGUGUAUUUAUGUGUGCAAGUGCAGGAUGUGUUUGUCUUAAUCUUCAUGAUUUAAAUCAGUCUUUAUGUAUUAUAUCGUUUGUAUAUUAGUGUGCAAGUAUGUGUUUGUCUUGAUCUUAAUUUAAUUAAAACUAUGUAUUAUUUCGUCUCUGUAUUGUGGAAAUUUUUUUACAUAAUUUUCCUAAAGGUAGGACAUGUAAAUAAAUAAUAUAAUAAUUGCGUAUUAAAAUGUUAUGCUAUUUGGACCCUUCGAGAAAUUUUAAGCGAAGGGGGAUGUGGGGUAGCUGGAGAGUGACACGGAAACGUAGACGCCAUAUUGAAACUAAAUGUGUGAGUUCUGGUCCUUGAAUAGUGCAACGUAAUCAGGCUUCAUCGAAAUUCGGUGAGUGUAUAUCGGUCUCAAACCGUAAUUUAGAAAUUACUGACACGUUCCCACUGAAGUAAUGGGAUAAAUAGUGUGGAAAACAUUUACAUUUCGGCAACAAGAACGGGAAAAUAGAGGACACCGAUUCUUCCUAGGAGCACACCUUAGCUAAGUGACCUUCCCAUAAUGUACAGUAGUUUUGCGUUGGCCAUCGUGAAUUCCAGCUGUAGUGGUAGCGUUAGGGUGUGUUGCAUAAAUAGAAUAAUUGUGGUCCAGUAAUUAAAUGGUGAGUGCUCAUUAUAUAUGUAUAUAUAUUUGGAAAAUGUUGUAUACUGAACAGAUCCCCCCCCCCCAUCCUUUCUUUUCAAGUCACAAACCAUCAUAUAGUCCACUCAGUAUCUUGUAAUUUUCCAGCAUUGUUGGUAUUACUUUUGUUGUAAUAUUUGAUAGGCCCGGCUUUGUUUAUGGGUGGGAAAGGGUGUGUGUGGGUCUUGGAGGAGAGGCAUGGUGCAGCCUAGUGUCUAAACUCCCACUUGGCUCAGAGGUACAACUAACAUGGGAAGUACAAUAAUUUGUUCCUUAGUUGUGCCCCACUCAAAUUAUGUGGAUAAAAUAUUUCAGGAAUAUACCUGUGAACCUCGUCCGCGUAAUUUCCCACAUUAUUAUAAGUGUACAAGCAUUUGUUUCUCUUUGCACCUCAUGAUUUGAUAAAUUCUUUGCGGAGCAUCUCGUCUGUGUAUGAAGUGUAUACGUAUGUCUCUUUAGUUCUCCCAUUUCUAAAUGUAAUUAUUUGUGACUCGACCUGGCUUUCCCUCUAGCUGUAUUCAUCAAGCUAGCCAGUAUCGAUUGUAAUAAGCCCCUACUGUUGUCCCAAUGCCAACUGAGGUAUAAAGGAACAUUGUAUCAUAUAACUAUUCCUGACAACACAAACUGAAAUUUUAGUCUCGUGAGUUGAACGACGUGAGGAGGAAGGGAUCAUAUUGCGUCCCCUGGGUGUGAGGUAAGUGCUUUACCACAGUACCACUACACACAAUCUGACCUUAAUUUUUAAAGGUGUGGGCCGGUAAGCCAGCGAAAAGCCGCGGUCACAUGAUCAAAUGCUCCAGUGGUGGGUCAUCACAUGACAAACCCUCAUCAGGAUACACUUGUCCUGUUUUCUGACGAAUCUUACCAAAUCUAACUAUAUCACUAGCAUUUAAAUAAUUUGAACUGAAGAGUCCCCCCUCCCUUAUUCGAAUUGUUACACUCACUAUAGUUUGUAUUUCUAAACUGAGAACCUUUUAUGUUUGUCACUCAGAAAUAUCUAUGAUUUCCGUUUAUUUUCAUCAUCAGUCACUGAUUACAGACUGAAAUUUAUGUCUGCAAGGCCUAGUUAAGAUUUUCUGCAUCUGAACUAUCGAUAUCUGAAGGCCGAGAGUUCGUCUUCGCCUCCACUGCAUAAAGAAUAGUCACAAUACCGUGGCUGGAGCAAUGCACAAAUAACCCGCCCUUAAGAAACUGAAACUUAGGACGACGUUUCAAUCGGACUUGCACCAUUAACUCCAGCCGUCUGGAACAUUAACUACAAAGUUUCUGUAACUAAUAAACCCAUGAUGUAAUGUUAUAUAUGAUAUCCUCAUCACUUUACUAGUCUCCCAGCUCAGGCUGACACAUUUCAAUACCUUGUGUAUUCAACCUAUCCUGCUUGAUGGAAUUUAAAAGGGAAAUAGCCAGCUUUUGUUCUCGUAAUACACCUGAUAUUAUAGAUACAUCAGCAGCACUGUGCUGAUGUAUCCAUUUUUUUAAAUAAACAAAACAAUGGAUGUCGCUCCUUUCGAAAUAUGACAGUGAUUAAAUAUGGAAGUAUAUUUUUUAAUCAUGGGGAAACUCUGGAAGCGUUAAGGGGCACGUAAGUUCCCCCGUCUUCUAAUAACAUGUUCAUUUUUCCACUAUAAUCUACCUUGUCCAUAAAUACUAACGCAUUUGCUUUGUCUGUUUCGUAAGGUGAAGUCCAGAAUCUUUCCUUAAAUCAUGGUAUAACUUAACAAAUCUUUGAGGAUAAGUGUGUUGCAGAGGUUUGAGCGAAGGUCAGGCCUCAGCAGCACAAUAUCAUCAGUAUCAACCUGUGGCCUCGCUAAUGUGACCAAAAGCUUCACUUGGUUAGCGGGUCAACACUUUUCCUGUUUUCUGACAAAUACAGUACCACACUUCUCGGUAUUGUAUACCAUUCUUAUAUUGACAAAAAUAAUAUAGAAGAAUAAGGUAAACAACAGGCUCAACCAGUGAAGUCUCAUAUGAAGGUAAAGUAAAUGAAAAGCCACUCAAAAUAUUGGCUUAAUGAUUACUUGGGAGUUCCACUCAAAUGCAUUUCUUUCCGAUCCAUUAUUUUUCUAUAUCCGUUCUGAAUCGCAUCUAUUGGCCAAUGCUAGACAGUUACUUAUCACGUACACCUCACUCAUAUAUUUGUUCAAAGGUCUGUUUUUAAACCUCUCUUGAUAGUAUUUCUUUUAAUUCCUUAUUUGCCAUAUUCUUUCUUUUGAAGACUAAUCGUAUUUGCCCUAUCCCCUUAUUCUACGUUUUUAUAUUUUUGAUAAAAUACACCAAUAACCCUCACCGGCCUUUGCCUUAUUAUUCUGAAUAUUUUUGGUAAGUUCACUGUUCCUAAUCUAUAUUAUCAUAAAAGAUUUUCUGAUAUCGAAGUUAAUGUUACGUAGGAGUAGACUUUCUCUCCAGCUCCUACGGAACUCUCCAACUCCAAACACCCAAAAAGUUAAUGUUCUAUAUUCUCUGUGUGUUUUUCAGGACACUUAUGAUUAUGUAAUAGAGAGACCAAAACUGUGCCACAAAUCUAAUUUGUAACAUUUAGUAUGCUGGUACC